UGGCCACACACCACUGUGCUGUGCUGGAGACCGGUCCUGCUGAUGGCUGGAGGACACUGACUCUGUGUCUCCCGGGGCUCCUCAGUGCCAGCACUCUGAGACUGCCUCCUGGGAUUAAAGAUGAGCCAUCCAUGGGGGCGUGGCUCGUGUGUGUCCCUCACCAGUACCUGAAGGAGCCUGACAGGGAGGGACCAUUUCACUACUCUACCAGGAAGAGAUCAUCAAGUGCUUUGUGAACAGGACUGUGUUGGUGGUCGCUGAAAACAACCAUAUCUCAGGCCACCCCAGCAUCCUUAGGCCCCUCCGUCCAUUCCCUCCUCAUCAUUCCUGCUUCCAGCUCCCAUGACAGUUCUCUUUAGAGCUGGGCAGUUGUCACCAAUGCUGUUGGUGCAACAAAAUAUAACUAAAUAAAUACUGAAUUUCUUUUUUUUUCAAGGUACUGCGGGAGGGACUGUGGAGACCACGAAGAUGGUAAAGAACACUUACUACUCUGAAAGGGGAGACAAUUCACGUAAAUUUGUGCUGCAAAGCAAGUCAAUGCACCAGAAUGUAUGGUAAGAAAAUUCCAGUAUUUUUUAGCAGCACGUAGAGAUAUUUUGAAAAAUGACCCAUCCAAUAACAGCGUCACCAACAGGAGGUGCUACAGAACGAGAGAAGGCGAAGGACACCGAAGGAACAUCCCCUCACUGCCUUGGCCUUCAGGACAUAACCCUGCCCAAGAAGAAAGCACCUAUAACAGGCUGGAGACAGGUCAAGCACAGACACCCCCUGUACCAGCUUUCUAAACCCUGGCCACAUUAACUAAUCAACUCGAGUGCUGGCUAUGUCGACAUUUAGACCACUGGCAGGAGCAAAAAAACUAAUUAGUGUUCCUGCCAAUGGGAGGACCUGGAGAACCAACUCUAGAAAAUAGAUGAAUGACAAUGUGUGGCAUCCAUGACCAAGAAAACAACGUCACUCUUCUCCUUUUGACCUCUGGCCACUCUGCCCCGAACCCAACCCUCUGUCCACAGCCAUCUGUCCAGCUGCUUGGUGACACAUCCGGGGAAGUGGAGGCGUCCAGCGCUCCUGAGAAGCAGCAGGUGCAGGGAGGGCACCCUGACCUUCAUGAGGGGCCUCCCUGGCCCAGGGGGAACAAGGGACGAGGAAUGGCGACGAGACAUCUGUGCAGGCAAACCCUUCUC
Molecule: long non-coding RNA, 1184 nt
Organism: Myotis brandtii (Brandt's bat)
Lineage: Eukaryota; Metazoa; Chordata; Mammalia; Chiroptera; Vespertilionidae
Exons: 3
Source: RefSeq, a predicted model, not a curated record